ACCCGGUUAGUGCAGUGGUUAGCACGCGGCUCUUAUACUCCUUUCGCUUGCGAAAUCAGAUAUGCCGAAACGCCAGUUCAAACCUGGCACUGGGUA
Non-coding RNA from Coniochaeta pulveracea, 96 nucleotides. Lineage: Eukaryota; Fungi; Ascomycota; Sordariomycetes; Coniochaetales; Coniochaetaceae. The record is from the annotation of a GenBank genome assembly.